CUAAGCGUGAAGUGAA
RNAcentral lists this ribosomal RNA (16 nucleotides) under Alexandrium tamarense. RNAcentral's name for it is "partial 28S ribosomal RNA". The record is from RNAcentral. Lineage: Eukaryota; Dinophyceae; Gonyaulacales; Pyrocystaceae.